RNAcentral lists this ribosomal RNA (1082 nucleotides) under uncultured bacterium. Its description in RNAcentral is "bacterial SSU rRNA". It matches the Rfam family "Bacterial small subunit ribosomal RNA", at positions 57 to 1145 of the family's 1533-position model. The record is from RNAcentral.
GCAGUCGACGCUGAAGCCUGGUGCUUGCACCGGGUGGAUGAGUGGCGAACGGGUGAGUAACACGUGAGUAACCUGCCCCUGACUUCGGGAUAAGCCCGGGAAACUGGGUCUAAUACCGGAUACGACUGCCGGACGCAUGUCUGGUGGUGGAAAGUUUUUUCGGUUGGGGAUGGGCUCGCGGCCUAUCAGUUUGUUGGUGAGGUAAUGGCUCACCAAGACGACGACGGGUAGCCGGCCUGAGAGGGCGACCGGCCACACUGGGACUGAGACACGGCCCAGACUCCUACGGGAGGCAGCAGUGGGGAAUAUUGCACAAUGGGGGAAACCCUGAUGCAGCGACGCAGCGUGCGGGAUGACGGCCUUCGGGUUGUAAACCGCUUUCAGCAGGGAAGAAGCGCAAGUGACGGUACCUGCAGAAGAAGUACCGGCUAACUACGUGCCAGCAGCCGCGGUAAUACGUAGGGUACGAGCGUUGUCCGGAAUUAUUGGGCGUAAAGAGCUCGUAGGUGGUUGGUCACGUCUGCUGUGGAAACGCAACGCUUAACGUUGCGCGUGCAGUGGGUACGGGCUGACUAGAGUGCAGUAGGGGAGUCUGGAAUUCCUGGUGUAGCGGUGAAAUGCGCAGAUAUCAGGAGGAACACCGGUGGCGAAGGCGGGACUCUGGGCUGUAACUGACACUGAGGAGCGAAAGCAUGGGGAGCGAACAGGAUUAGAUACCCUGGUAGUCCAUGCCGUAAACGUUGGGCACUAGGUGUGGGGGGCAUUCCACGUUCUCCGCGCCGUAGCUAACGCAUUAAGUGCCCCGCCUGGGGAGUACGGUCGCAAGGCUAAAACUCAAAGGAAUUGACGGGGGCCCGCACAAGCGGCGGAGCAUGCGGAUUAAUUCGAUGCAACGCGAAGAACCUUACCAAGGCUUGACAUACACCGGGACCGUCCUGGAAACAGGUCCUCUUCUUUGAAGCUGGUGUACAGGUGGUGCAUGGUUGUCGUCAGCUCGUGUCGUGAGAUGUUUGGGUUAAGUCCCGCAACGAGCGCAACCCUCGUUCUAUGUUGCCAGCAUGGUGAUGGUGGGAACUCAUAGG